GCUUUCGUGGUGUAGUGGUCAGCAUGCUCGACGCGUAACCGAGAGGUCCGUGGUUCGAUUCCCGUCGAAGGCG
RNAcentral lists this transfer RNA (73 nucleotides) under Stegodyphus mimosarum. It matches the Rfam family "tRNA". From Rfam's summary of the family: Transfer RNA (tRNA) molecules are approximately 80 nucleotides in length. Their secondary structure includes four short double-helical elements and three loops (D, anti-codon, and T loops). The record is from Rfam by way of RNAcentral. Lineage: Eukaryota; Metazoa; Arthropoda; Arachnida; Araneae; Eresidae.